This is a long non-coding RNA of Pleuronectes platessa (European plaice), 357 nucleotides long. RefSeq lists it as uncharacterized. Lineage: Eukaryota; Metazoa; Chordata; Actinopteri; Pleuronectiformes; Pleuronectidae. The record is from RefSeq and is a predicted model, not a curated record. The transcript is spliced from 3 exons.
GAUGGGGAAAAUUGCAGUUGCACAAAGAGAUCCACGGCAUGAAGGAAACCUCCUACCCCAUGCGUUCUGGCCAAGAUCUUGGAUGGAAGGCAGAUUUAUGGGGGAUCAUCCUGUCUGGUUUCAAGACGUCCAAGCUGAAUUUUGUGACCUGCAGUGCUUCAUGGACCUAAUGACUCAGAUGCUGAUGAUGAGUCAGUAUAAAAGAAUUACCCCCGGCAGAAUUCUCCAGCAUCCAUUCAUCACCAUGAGCCACCUUCAAGGCUCAUACAAAAACAGCCUCUAUUUGAAGUCAUGCAAGGAUCUGAUGGACAUCUGCCAGGAUCAGAGCUCUGAGGAUGGAGGACAUUGAGACCAGGG